GCAGCAGCCGCGGUAAUACAGAGGGUGCGAGCGUUAAUCGGAUUUACUGGGCGUAAAGCGUGCGUAGGCGGCUUCUUAAGUCGGAUGUGAAAUCCCUGAGCUUAACUUAGGAAUUGCAUUCGAUACUGGGAAGCUAGAGUAUGGGAGAGGAUGGUAGAAUUCCAGGUGUAGCGGUGAAAUGCGUAGAGAUCUGGAGGAAUACCGAUGGCGAAGGCAGCCAUCUGGCCUAAUACUGACGCUGAGGUACGAAAGCAUGGGGAGCAAACAGGAUUAGAGACCCCCGUAGUCCCUGUCUCUUAUAC
RNAcentral lists this ribosomal RNA (302 nucleotides) under uncultured bacterium. Its description in RNAcentral is "partial 16S ribosomal RNA". It matches the Rfam family "Bacterial small subunit ribosomal RNA", at positions 508 to 807 of the family's 1533-position model. The record is from RNAcentral.